CAAAGAUACCGGAUCUUGUUUGGCCUGGAGUUCCCCAGUUAGGCUGAGCUGGCUGUGUUCGUCCUCUCCUGCUCCUCAGUCUUGGGAUUAUGCUCCUCCACUCCAGGCUUUUCUACACAGUUCUGGACUGAAGCUGGGUCUUCAUGCUUGAAAGCAAGCACUCUUCCCACUGCCCACCCGCUUCCCUGCCCUGUCUCUCUUUCCUUUCUUCACCUUUACUAAAGAUGCAUUUCACAUGCCACAGGAUUCGCCGUGUAAGGCGUACAGCUCAGUGCUGGCUUGAAUAUUCAGAGUUGAACAGAUAUCUAAUUUUAGACCACUGCACCGUCUUCAGAAGAAACCCCAUCCAUCAAGAGUCAGUCCUGUCUCUGCUCCCCUCUUACUGUCUGGGGUUGGGUUUUAAUGUGUUGUAUGUUUACGUGGUUCAGAACUGAAGAUGACAGAGAGCUGUAAAGCAGGUUGCAAAAUACCCGGGAAGUUCUAGCACUUACUCCAUGCCUUCUACAUACCUCCCACAGGUAGCCAUUUUCAUAAGUUGUCUGUUUCCUGCAUUUCUUUAUGCAAAUACACGGGAAAUCCCACGUAAGAUUCCGACUCCCUACCCUCUCUUCACAGAAAGAUAAAGAUCCUUUGAGGGGGAAGCUAAUGUCCUUCGAAUCAUCAGUAAAACGGUUUCACUUGGGAGCUAGUAGUUUCAGGUUACUCGUGGCCCUCAGCAUCGUCACAGGAUUCAGCAUGGCCUCAGGUGGCUCUACAUGCUAGUCAUACCGAGUGGCCCCUGAGGCAGCAAAACCUGAGGACAUCACCAACGCAGCUGCGCAGAUCGCUUAAGUCCUCAUGGAUCUCAGGUUUCAUCUCUUCCUGAGGCAACCGCAUGGGCCACAGUCACCAACAUGGCCUCCAGUGGCUUCGGGGACCACUGUGGUCCUUCAGGGAGGUCCAAUCCAGUGAGUGAACCUUUCUUUAUCUCGAGCUUCCAUCCUUGCCCGGAUCCAGGGCGAUCCUGAAGCCGGGCAGCAGGUUCUGGGGCUGAGUCUGAAUAAGCUUCAGACUCUACUAGGCAAUGACAGCAUGUCCCCCUCAGCGCUCUCUCCCUGUCGCCACCAUCACAUCUCCAGUUCGGCUUCUCUUCAUGGUGUCCGCACUAUCUUUCUAUCUUUCCCACCCCUCCAUCACAUUGCUUAUUUUAGUGGUGCCUGCCUGUCCUCAAGUGCUUUCGUGGGUCGGGGUGGCGGGGGUGGAGGGGGUG
This 1249-nucleotide small RNA is filed under the name Rattus norvegicus (Norway rat). RNAcentral describes it as "uncharacterized LOC103693320". The record is from RNAcentral. Lineage: Eukaryota; Metazoa; Chordata; Mammalia; Rodentia; Muridae.